RNAcentral lists this ribosomal RNA (742 nucleotides) under uncultured soil bacterium. RNAcentral describes it as "bacterial SSU rRNA". It matches the Rfam family "Bacterial small subunit ribosomal RNA", at positions 36 to 767 of the family's 1533-position model. The record is from RNAcentral.
CUAGCGGGAUGCUUUACACAUGCAAGUCGAACGGCAGCGCGAGAGAGCUUGCUCUCUUGGCGGCGAGUGGCGGACGGGUGAGUAAUAUAUCGGAACGUGCCCAGUAGCGGGGGAUAACUACUCGAAAGAGUGGCUAAUACCGCAUGAGAUCUCACGAUGAAAGCGAGGGACCGCAAGGCCUCGCGCGAUUGGAGCGGCCGAUGUCGGAUUAGCUAGUUGGCGGGGUAAAAGCCCACCAAGGCUACGAUCCGUAGCUGGUUUGAGAGAACGACCAGCCACACUGGGACUGAGACACGGCCCAGACUCCUACGGGAGGCAGCAGUGGGGAAUUUUGGACAAUGGGGGCAACCCUGAUCCAGCCAUGCCGCGUGUGUGAAGAAGGCCUUCGGGUUGUAAAGCACUUUCGGCCGGAACGAAAUCGCCUCCGUUAAUAGCGAGGGUGGAUGACGGUACCGGAAGAAGAAGCACCGGCUAACUAAGUGCCAGCAGCCGCGGUAAUACGUAGGGUGCGAGCGUUAAUCGGAAUUACUGGGCGUAAAGGGUGCGCAGGCGGCGUCGCAAGUCAGGCGUGAAAUCCCCGGGCUUAACCUGGGAAUGGCACUUGAAACUACGAUGCUGGAGUAUGGCAGAGGGAGGUGGAAUUCCACGUGUAGCGGUGAAAUGCGUAGAGGUGUGGAGGAACACCGAUGGCGAAGGCAGCCUCCUGGGCCAAUACUGACGCUCAUGCACGAAAGCGUGGGGA